GUGCCAGCAGCCGCGGUAAUACGUAGGGUACGAGCGUUGUCCGGAAUUAUUGGGCGUAAAGAGCUCGUAGGUGGUUGGUCACGUCUGCUGUGGAAACGCAACGCUUAACGUUGCGCGUGCAGUGGGUACGGGCUGACUAGAGUGCAGUAGGGGAGUCUGGAAUUCCUGGUGUAGCGGUGAAAUGCGCAGAUAUCAGGAGGAACACCGGUGGCGAAGGCGGGACUCUGGGCUGUAACUGACACUGAGGAGCGAAAGCAUGGGGAGCGAACAGGAUUAGAUACCCUGGUAGUCCAUGCCGUAAACGUUGGGCACUAGGUGUGGGGGGCAUUCCACGUUCUCCGCGCCGUAGCUAACGCAUUAAGUGCCCCGCCUGGGGAGUACGGUCGCAAGGCUAAAACUCAAAGGAAUUGACGGGGGCCCGCACAAGCGGCGGAGCAUGCGGAUUAAUUCGAUGCAACGCGAAGAACCUUACCAAGGCUUGACAUACACCGGACCGUCCUGGAAACAGGUCUUCUUCUUUGAAGCUGGUGUACAGGUGGUGCAUGGUUGUCGUCAGCUCGUGUCGUGAGAUGUUGGGUUAAGUCCCGCAACGAGCGCAACCCUCGUUCUAUGUUGCCAGCACGUGAUGGUGGGAACUCAUAGGAGACUGCCGGGGUCAACUCGGAGGAAGGUGGGGAUGACGUCAAAUCAUCAUGCCCUUUAUGUCUUGGGCUUCACGCAUGCUACAAUGGCUGGUACAGAGAGAGGCGAACCCGUGAGGGCAAGCGAAUCCCUUAAAGCCAGUCUCAGUUCGGAUCGUAGUCUGCAAUUCGACUACGUGAAGUCGGAGUCGCUAGUAAUCGCAGAUCAGCAACGCUGCGGUGAAUACGUUCCCGGGCCUUGUACACACCGCCCGUCAAGUCACGAAAGUCGGUAACACCCGAAGCCGGUGGCCUAACCGUAAGGAGGGGGCCGUCUAAGGUGGGACUGGUGAUUGGGACUAAGUCGUAACAAGGUAACC
This 1000-nucleotide ribosomal RNA is filed under the name uncultured bacterium. Its description in RNAcentral is "bacterial SSU rRNA". It matches the Rfam family "Bacterial small subunit ribosomal RNA", at positions 505 to 1501 of the family's 1533-position model. The record is from RNAcentral.